UACGGGGGGUGCGAGCGUUGUCCGGAAUCACUGGGCGUAAAGGGCGCGUAGGUGGUUUGAUAAGGGUGUGGUGAAAGCCCGGGGCUCAACCCCGGGUCUGCCGUGCCGACUGUCAAACUCGAGGGCUGUAGAGGCAGACGGAAUUCCGGGUGUAGCGGUGGAAUGCGUAGAGAUCCGGAGGAAGACCGGUGGCGAAGGCGGUCUGCUGGGCAGUUUCUGACACUGAUGCGCGACAGCGGUGG
This 242-nucleotide ribosomal RNA is filed under the name uncultured bacterium. RNAcentral's name for it is "partial 16S ribosomal RNA". It matches the Rfam family "Bacterial small subunit ribosomal RNA", at positions 524 to 765 of the family's 1533-position model. The record is from RNAcentral.